GAUCUCGUGAGAACCAACUCACUAAAACAAAAACAGGAUGGGGAAACCGCCUCCAUGAUUCAAUUAUUUCCACCUGGUCCCUCCCAGGACACAUGGGGAUUAUGGGAACUACAAGUCAAGAUGAGAUUUGGGUGGAGACACAGCCGAACGAUAUCAGGGUGUUGUGAGGAUUAAGGGAGCAAAUGGCUGCGAAAGCACCUUGUAAAGGGUAGAGCAGUGUGCAGCGUGAGGGAUUAUUAUCAUUGUUAAGACGUCUACGCCUCGUUGCUCACCCUGUGUGUUCCUGCAGCUUCUCAACUUUUCCCUCCUUUCUCCCUGGUUUCCACGCCUGGGCUGCUGAGUCAGGGGACCAGCCAAGGCUGGCGAGGGCUGAACAAACACUCUGACAUGUCGAAGCAGGAAAUGACAGUUCCCAGGCAGCCCUCUGUUUUAGGUGUGGAACAGGCUCCAAACACACUUUGUGUGAUAAACUCUAGUAACACCAAGCUGAGCUCUACCUCCACCCCCACAGGCUGCAAGACCAGGACAUGAGGCUGAAAGUCAGGGAAGUCCCUGUGAGACGAGGGCCCUGGGCAAGCACUGGCCAGAUUGUAGCAAGGUCACUCACCAGGCCACCCCGCUGGUUCCACUUCGGCACCCACCUCUGGCAGCCAUGAUGCUUCUGCAGCAUGCCAGUUUGUUCGCUGAGACCUUCACAGAGGGUCGCACAACCACCCUGGACAGUGAGAAACUAAGGUGACUGAGGCAAGUCAUUGAACCACCCUGAGCCUCGGCUUCCUCAUCUAUGAAAUGGAGUUGACAGCAUCUGUCCUGCCUGUGGUAAAAAUUGUUGUGAUCCCACAACCAAAAGGAAAGAAAGAAUUAUGAGAAAAUAUGUACUUAUUCUGUGAAAAUAUGUGAGAUAUUCAUGAGAGACUUCCUGUUCCAGUGGACUCUUCCACCGCCCUUGAGUGGGGAACAUCCAGGCCUUCACACUCAUACGCUCAGCCCAUCACCCUUUUGUGCAAGGUGCAAGAUCCUCUGCCCACCUGAAGCCUCAAGGCCUGAUGGAAACCAUCCCCAGCCACUCCAGUACCUUUGACCGGAGCGUGACCCUGCUGGAGGUGUGCGGGAGCUGGCCUGAGGGCUUCGGGCUGCGGCACAUGUCCUCCAUGGAGCACACGGAGGAGGGCCUCCGGGAGCGACUUGCCGACGCCAUGGCCGAGUCACCCAGCCGGGACGUCGUGGGAUCCGGAACAGAACUUCAGCGAGAGGGAAGCAUCGAGACUCUGAGUAACAGCUCAGGCUCCACCAGCGGCAGCAUACCAAGAAACUUUGAUGGCUACCGAUCUCCGCUGCCCACCAAUGAGAGCCAGCCCCUCAGCCUCUUCCCGACUGGCUUCCCGUAGGUACCAGCAACCUGCUUCUGACUGGCCAGCCCCCUCCCCUGCUGGAGGAGGGGAGAAGCCCCACUCUGGUCCUACCCUUCAGUCUCUGCUCUUCCUUCAUCAACCACCUUCCCCAAGCUUAGUGACAGCAGCCGCCCUUCCUACCUGGAUGGAGAAGAGACCCUUCAAGCACCUCGGCGCACCUGCCCUCUGCCACACCCGUCAGUGGAGGCUGUGGCCAGGAGAGACUGCAGAAGCUCGGUCCCUGUGUAUGUUUGCAUAUGACAUCCUGCAUUGGAUCCGCUUUUGUAUUUUUUAACCUUACCCAUGGUGGGGCGGGUGCGGGGGGGGCCUGGAACAGUGACCAGAUCUGGGGGCCUGAGUGGGGACAGAGUUGAUGGUCCACCUGGCCAUCUUGAUCCUGAGUGGACAGUCACAGCCUCAGCUCAUGUCUGGCUGUGACACACACUGCCCCCAGCUUCCCUUGGUCAGCCCCGCUCCAGCACGGGGUGAACGGAGGCCCAGAGUUCUAGGGAAGGAGGAAGGGAGGGGAUGCCUCCUCUCUUCCUCCUUUCUUUCCCCAUCUGUUCAUGGAAAGAGUUUGUCUUUCUUAUCUUUAAGCCCCUUUACCCUGGUCCUGUACUGAUCAGUGAAGGAAACCGUGGUUACUGAGGCCCUGUUGAAAAGUGCACGUCUUGUCCAAUAAAUCACGCUGCAAUUGGUGUCCA
This 2095-nucleotide small RNA is filed under the name Pongo abelii (Sumatran orangutan). RNAcentral describes it as "processed transcript". Lineage: Eukaryota; Metazoa; Chordata; Mammalia; Primates; Hominidae. The record is from RNAcentral.